GGUGAACGCUGGCGGCGUGCCUAAUACAUGCAAGUCGAGCGAACAGAUGAGGAGCUUGCUCCUCUGACGUUAGCGGCGGACGGGUGAGUAACACGUGGAUAACCUACCUAUAAGACUGGGAUAACUUCGGGAAACCGGAGCUAUACCGGAUAAUAUAUUGAACCGCAUGGUUCAAUAGUGAAAGACGGUUUUGCUGUCACUUAUAGAUGGAUCCGCGCCGCAUUAGCUAGUUGGUAAGGUAACGGCUUACCAAGGCAACGAUGCGUAGCCGACCUGAGAGGGUGAUCGGCCACACUGGAACUGAGACACGGUCCAGACUCCUACGGGAGGCAGCAGUAGGGAAUCUUCCGCAAUGGGCGAAAGCCUGACGGAGCAACGCCGCGUGAGUGAUGAAGGUCUUCGGAUCGUAAAACUCUGUUAUUAGGGAAGAACAAAUGUGUAAGUAACUAUGCACGUCUUGACGGUACCUAAUCAGAAAGCCACGGCUAACUACGUG
Molecule: ribosomal RNA, 496 nt
Filed under: uncultured bacterium
Lineage: Bacteria
Description: partial 16S ribosomal RNA
Rfam family: Bacterial small subunit ribosomal RNA
Source: RNAcentral